This 826-nucleotide ribosomal RNA is filed under the name uncultured crenarchaeote. Its description in RNAcentral is "bacterial SSU rRNA". It matches the Rfam family "Archaeal small subunit ribosomal RNA", at positions 52 to 859 of the family's 1478-position model. The record is from RNAcentral. Lineage: Archaea; Thermoproteati; Thermoproteota.
UGCUAGUCGUGUGACUCAGGCAAAACGAGUCACGGCACACAGCUCAGUAACACGUGGCUAAUCUGCCCUUAGGACGAGAACAACCCCGGGAAACUGGGGCUAACUCUUGAUAGGUGAAGAACUCUGGAAUGAGUCUUUGCCUAAAUAGAUUCACGUUAUCCUCGUGAAUCUGCCUAAGGAUGAGGCCGCGACCGAUCAGGUUGUUGGCGAGGUAAUGGCUCACCAAGCCUUUUACCGGUGCGGGCCGUGGGAGCGGGAGCCCGGAGAUGGGUACUGAGACAAGGACCCAGGCCCUACGGGGCGCAGCAGUCGCGAAACCUUUGCAAUAAGCGAAAGCUUGACAGGGCUAUCCCGAGUGCCAUCCGCUGAGGAAGGCUUUUACCCAGUCUAGAACGCUGGGGGAAUAAGGAGAGGGCAAGUCUGGUGUCAGCCGCCGCGGUAAUACCAGCUCUUCGAGUGGUGUGGAUGUUUAUUGGGCCUAAAGCAUCCGUAGCUGGCUAGGUCAGUCCCUUGUUAAAUCCACCGAAUUAAUCGUUGGAUCGCGGGGGAUACUGCUUGGCUAGGGGACGAGAGAGGCAGACGGUAUUUUCGGGGUAGGGGUGAAAUCCUAUAAUCCCGGGAAGACCACCAGUGGCGAAGGCUGUCUGCUAGAACGCGCCCGACGGUGAGGGAUGAAAGCUGGGGGAGCGAACCGGAUUAGAUACCCGGGUAGUCCCAGCUGUAAACGAUGCAGACUAUGUGUUUGAACGGGCACGUGCCGUUCUAGUGCCGCAGGGAAGCUGUUAAGUCUGCCGCCUGGGGAGUACGAUCGCAGAUUGAAACUUAA